AUUGAACGCUGGCGGCAUGCCUUACACAUGCAAGUCGAACGGCAGCACGGGAGCAAUCCUGGUGGCGAGUGGCGAACGGGUGAGUAAAGUAUCGGAACGUGCCCAGUCGUGGGGGAUAACGUAGCGAAAGUUACGCUAAUACCGCAUACGAUCUAUGGAUGAAAGCGGGGGGUCGCAAGACCUCGCGCGAUUGGAGCGGCCGAUAUCAGAUUAGGUAGUUGGUGGGGUAAAGGCCCACCAAGCCGACGAUCUGUAGCUGGUCUGAGAGGACGACCAGCCACACUGGGACUGAGACACGGCCCAGACUCCUACGGGAGGCAGCAGUGGGGAAUUUUGGACAAUGGGCGAAAGCCUGAUCCAGCCAUGCCGCGUGCAGGAUGAAGGCCUUCGGGUUGUAGACUGCUUUUGUACGGAACGAAAAGGACUGCCCUAAUACGGUGGUCCCAUGACGGUACCGUAAGAAUAAGCACCGGCUAACUACGUGCCAGCCGCCGCGGUAA
RNAcentral lists this ribosomal RNA (500 nucleotides) under uncultured bacterium. RNAcentral describes it as "partial 16S ribosomal RNA". It matches the Rfam family "Bacterial small subunit ribosomal RNA", at positions 29 to 523 of the family's 1533-position model. The record is from RNAcentral.